Molecule: transfer RNA, 74 nt
Filed under: Candidatus Nealsonbacteria bacterium CG03_land_8_20_14_0_80_36_12
Lineage: Bacteria; Candidatus Nealsoniibacteriota
Description: tRNA-Met
Rfam family: tRNA
About the family: Transfer RNA (tRNA) molecules are approximately 80 nucleotides in length. Their secondary structure includes four short double-helical elements and three loops (D, anti-codon, and T loops). Further hydrogen bonds mediate the characteristic L-shaped molecular structure. tRNAs have two regions of fundamental functional importance: the anti-codon, which is responsible for specific mRNA codon recognition, and the 3' end, to which the tRNAs corresponding amino acid is attached (by aminoacyl-tRNA synthetases). tRNAs cope with the degeneracy of the genetic code in two manners: having more than one tRNA (with a specific anti-codon) for a particular amino acid; and 'wobble' base-pairing, i.e. permitting non-standard base-pairing at the 3rd anti-codon position.
Source: RNAcentral
CGCGGUGUGGACCAGUAGUAGGUUGUCAGGCUCAUAACCUGAAGACGCCGGUGCAAUUCCGGCCGCCGCAACAA